CUGGUACUCCCUCCGUCCGAAAAUACUUAUGCUCGAAAUGGUUGUAUUUAGACUUAUUUUAGUUAUAGAUACAUUCAUUUUAUCCAUUUUGAGGACAAGUAUUUCCGGACGAAGAGAGUACUUG
Molecule: non-coding RNA, 124 nt
Organism: Triticum aestivum (bread wheat)
Lineage: Eukaryota; Viridiplantae; Streptophyta; Magnoliopsida; Poales; Poaceae
Source: Rfam